Long non-coding RNA from Thunnus maccoyii (southern bluefin tuna), 2809 nucleotides. RefSeq lists it as uncharacterized. The transcript is spliced from 3 exons. The record is from RefSeq and is a predicted model, not a curated record. Lineage: Eukaryota; Metazoa; Chordata; Actinopteri; Scombriformes; Scombridae.
CCGGGGAGGGAGCCCCGAGGAGCAGCGAGCAGCACGGGGUGGGACCGGCCAACCGGAUACUCAGCUUGGACCGUUUUUUACAUUUGUCUUUUAAUGGUUUAAACGUUAACACCGGGGGACACACAGUCUUGUCAGGGGGAACUUGCGGGCUUCGCGUCUCGUCGAAACCUCUGGAGGUGUCAGAAAAAAAAAUUGAUUGAGAGUUAAGGUGUGGCUGAGGGUUUCUGUGAGGCUUGUGCACUGAAAAAUGUUACAAAACUGACUCUUUUUUACCGGAGAGUAGCCGCUCGGGCCUGAGACUCUUCUAUCUUCCAUUGGCUUUUAAGAAUCUGCAGUCAUUUUCAUUACAUAACAAAUGUAUUGCCAUCUUGAUGUGCGCACCUUUUGACUUAAAACGCUUGCAGUAGCCUGCAUUAAUUAGACUAUUACGCAGUAAAGAAGUAAGUCGAGUAAUUUUUUUUUUCUUACUGCUCGCUUUGGUUUCAUAAGUCUGUGCAAUGUAACGGACGUGGCAACUUUACAGUAGCCAGCCCUACUGAAUGCCACAGGCAAACUGGGCGUGGGGGAAACAGCCCGAACAGAGCCUAAUAUUCCUCAAAUCUUACCCAAGCACGGCUAAAUUGCACAUAUUUGACAUGAUAUAACCGUACCGGCAAGUGCCUCGGUGGAACCAGUGGAUUUACCAGAACCAAAUAUCUCCAGGUGCCUACAGUAGAUUCAGAAAGACCGUCUGGUCUUAUAACCAACUUUAGAUCAUGGGACCAGGACGUACUUCCAGGUAUCUACGGACGUGUUAAUUGAUGGAGAUGUGCCACACCCGUGCCACUCGAUCCCCAGUGGCCCCUACCUGUGCCUGUGCCUGUGCCUGUGCCAGCUGCUCUGCCAGCUGUGGGUGAGCAAGGGGAGCAGCGUCACAGAAAGAGACGAACAGACAGCUGCUGCAAACAGAAAGACGGAGGAGCAUCGUCAAAAGAGGAGGACUGAGUCAACCUACACGCCAUCAGUCAUGUUAUAUUUAUUAUUAGCGCACAGUCAUUUUACAGCAUAGAACCUAUUAUUAAAUCUAAACCAUUUGGAAUUUGAUUCAAGGCUGUAUAAUUAUCCAGCCUUAAAUCAAAUUCCAAAUGCUGCUGUACACUGCUGUAAGAAAUGUCAGGCAAUGAAUAAAAAAAAUGUUUUCUGUUUAACAAUUUCACUGCAAAGUAAGCUGCAAAUAUUUUGUCUCUUGACAUUCAUCAGUCAUUUUGCAUCCAGCUGGGAGUUCAGCCUCACAUGUUGGGAGCUGGACUACAGCACUUUAGUGUUCCAGGCUCCAGGCUUAUGGACUUAGCUAACACACUUCCUGUUGGAGACAUACAUUAUACUGCCAGGGGGAACAUAAACAAUAAUCUUCUUACGGUGUGAGCUGCUCUGUCAGCUGUAAGCAAGCCCUUACUCCUUACUAGCAAUAUACAGUAUCUGAAGAUACAUAGUGAUUAGUAAUAUAAUGUGGUAAUGUGGUGCAGUCUUCUUCAGUCACCUGGCACUAGGCAUUUAGUCAAACAUUUAAAUGUUGCUUUAGUUUGGACUUAAAUGAUUAGUAUCAUAUAGUCCAGUAUUUGUCUAUGACGACUCGUGAAACUUAAGCUGAGUUUUUGUUGAUUUUUCUUUAGAUUAAUAAUUAAUUUCUGGCUAAACCUGCACUGAUAUUGAGUAUUUAAAUUUACUUUUAAUAGCAGAAAACACUUUUUUACACACAUUUUGACUUGUUGAAGGAAAAGAAGAGGUGUAAUCAAUACCAUUAAAGAUAGCUUUUUUAGAAGUCCCAGCAAACCAUGUCAGUGAGCAAGCAUUCAUAGUACCAGGGCCACUGAAAACUGAAAACACCUGAAUGGUAUGCAGUCAUAAUUAACACUAUUAAUUACACCUGUGCCUUUCCUGCUAUGAUAUGUCAAAACAUCUGCUGUGAAAAGGCAAACUUUUAAAUCUUGCAGUCGUUUCAUCAACAUCAGGCAGGCAUCUGCUGAGGGUUAGUUAGCUCACAAACAGCUCAGCAGGCUAUAAUCUCUCUGAGCUAUUGAAGGGCUGCUUGAACUCAGUGAGAGAUAAAGUCAGAACGAGGCAGAGGAGGAAGAUUAUUUUCUUCAUAUCUGUAAAGACGAACAUAAAUCAUUAAAAAACAUACAGUCAAGUGAAGUCCCAUCAGUCUAUAGUUAAGUAGUUUUAUAUUUAAAAGUCUUGUGGUUUCCGUGUCAUGUCAUCUUGACUUAGUUUUAUAGUUUAUCAGUUUGAAUUAUUGUGUCAUUAAAAGCCAAAGGUUGGAGUAGCGCAUGGACACAGAGGACUCACUGAGAGAGUUUUUCCUCCAAGGAUAGGGUUGCCAGCGCCCUUUGGAGUAUGUAAUACCAGUCACAUCUUUGCACAGCAUGUAUAGACAUCAGGCUGUUGACUUUGACCCGAACCUGUUCUUAGACAAACUUCAUCUGUUCAAAUUAAUCUGGCCCUCACAGAGAAGGUCAGAGAAACUUCCCCACAGUCUUUUCAAGUAGAUAAAUCUAACUCAGCUCUCUCUCUGCUGAGAUUCCUCCGCAGCAUAUCUUUAUAAGAUCUGAUCUAUGUACUUUAUCACUUGAGUCUCAGUGGUGAUUUCAGUGUAAUGCUAAUGGAACGAUGGGGAAUGUGUUUUAGUAUACUUUCAAAUACAAAGUCAGAAUAAAGGACUAAUGGAUAAGAUGCAUAUAUUGUAUAUUUUUGUAAAAUUUGUGCAUGUCAACAUUUUCUGUAGGAAUGAAUAAACUGCAAAUGAGCAGAAUGUUUUUUCAACACUGAA